CCCGGGGGACAUCCUUGGACGGGCUAGUGGCGCGGGGUGAGUAAUACAUCUAGAACGUGCCCAAUCGUGGGGGAUGCGCAACGAAAGCUGUGCUAAUACCGCAGACGAUCUACUGAUGAAAGCAGGGGAUCGCAAGACCUUGCGCGAAUGGAGCGGCCGAUGGCAGAUUAGGUAGUUGGUGAGGUAAAGGCUCACCAAGCCUUCGAUCUGUAGCUGGUCUGAGAGGACGACCAGCCACACUGGGACUGAGACACGGCCCAAACUCCUACGGGAGGCACCAGUGGGGAAUUUUGGACAAUGGGCGCAAGCCUGAUCCAGCCAUGCCGCGUGCAGGAUGAAGGCCUUCGGGUUGUAAACUGCUUUUGUACGGAACGAAACGGCUCUCUCUAAUAAAGAGGGCUAAUGACGGUACCGUAAGAAUAAGCACCGGCUAACUACGUGCCAGCAGCCGCGGUAAUACAUAUGGUGCAAGCGUUAAUCUCAAUUACUGGGCGUAAAGCGUGCGCAUGCAGUGAUGUAAUACAGUUGUGAAAUCCCCGGGCUCAACCUGGGAACUGCAUCUGUGACUGCAUUGCUGGAGUACGGAACAGGGGGAUGGAAUUCCGCGUGUAGCACUGAAAUGCGUACAUAUGCGGAGGAACACCGAUGGCGAACGCGAUCCCCUGGGCCUGUACUGACGCUCAUGCACGAAAGCGUGGGGAGCAAACAGGAUUAGAUACCCUGGUAGUCCACGCCCUAAACGAUGUCAACUGGUUGUUGGGUCUUCACUGACUCAGUAACGAAGCUGACGCGUGAAGUUGACCGCCUGGGCGAGUACAGCCCGCAAGGUUGAAUACUCAGAGCAUUUGACAGGGGACCCCGCCACAAGUCGGCUGGAUGCAUUGCUGGUUUAAUUACGAUUGCAACGCUGCAAAACCGUGACCCAACAUUCUGACGUGGCUCCGCGUAGUUUUGUGUCCAGCAGCGAUGCUGCGCGUC
This 978-nucleotide ribosomal RNA is filed under the name Variovorax sp. RNAcentral describes it as "bacterial SSU rRNA". It matches the Rfam family "Bacterial small subunit ribosomal RNA", at positions 72 to 1017 of the family's 1533-position model. The record is from RNAcentral. Lineage: Bacteria; Pseudomonadati; Pseudomonadota; Betaproteobacteria; Burkholderiales; Comamonadaceae.